CUUGUCGCAGUUCCCAGCGAAAUUUGAAUGAAUGGAUAGUUCACCUGAAACCCACAUUUAUGUGCAAUGUGCAAAUUUGCUGCAUUUCAAACUUUUCGGAAACUGGGUCCUACGCCGCUAGGUCUCGAAUAUUUCUAUGUAGUACUAACAUGCUAACUUUCUUUUACAUUCUGAAUACUGAUGAAAGUCUGAAAAUUUUGAUGUGCCAUGAGCUUGAGCUUGAUUAAUCGCCAACAGUUGCUACACCAGUAUCGCCAAAUCAGCUUCACUCACACAAGGAACCAAUGAGAUAGCUGCUCGGGAUAUUCAGUGUUGGUAGUGUCCUAUUUUUUGGCGAGAAUGGCGCCUCAGGUUGCAGGUCAAUGUAGAGAACGAGGGUAGCAUAGGCAAAACAACAUAGGGGAACAUAGGCAAAUUUUCAUAGUUGUGGCUUUCACAACCAGAGGCGCGCGCAUCGUUUUUCUAUGCGUUUGACGUUUCACAUUAGCGCCUUCUAUUGACGAUAUUGCACAACACAGUGAUUCGUGCAACUUUUCCACCAGGUGAUGGUAGUGUGAACUGGGCGAUGGAUUUCCAUGAAAAUCGUUCAAGGUGUUACGUCUGUUUGUCUGUGGUAUUACCAUAGUCAAUAAAAUAAUUUAUUACAUAUCCGGGGUCCUCAUAUUCUGGGACUACCAAGUGAACAAUGUUGCUUCCCGUAGCUGGCUCGAAAACUUAUGCAUUCUCCAAAGAGUCUGGAAAUUGUGGAAUAUCGGACGGCAUGGUUAUUGAAAAUGCGAGAACUGGCAUAAUGCUAGGAGGCCAGGGAACCGGUUCAGGGUCCACUAGGUGGACAAUGUUCUCUUCAGUAGCUGGUUUGAUAACUGGAAAAUUAUCCAUGAAAUUCAACGAAUUUUGAUGCGCCACAUGGCAGGGUCAUACAAAAUCAGGGAAUUGGUCACAUUUUCGGGGCCUCGGGAACCGGUACUGGGAACCGGUUCCGGGACCACCAAGUGGCUAAUCCUGCCUCUGAUAUCUGA
This is a long non-coding RNA of Aedes albopictus (Asian tiger mosquito), 1019 nucleotides long. RefSeq lists it as uncharacterized. Lineage: Eukaryota; Metazoa; Arthropoda; Insecta; Diptera; Culicidae. The transcript has 2 exons. The record is from RefSeq and is a predicted model, not a curated record.